GGUGUGGAUCUCGACCGCUUCCAAGUUCUCAAACAGGAGGGGGUGGGGUAACCCAGGGGGACUCCCCCUAUAUUUCAUUUUUUUAUUUAUUAUAUUGUCCUAUACUUGAAUAUAUGCAGGGGCGGAUUCAGACGGGGGAGGGUUGCGGGCUUGCACCCCCCUUAAAUUUGCAAAGCAUGGGUUAUUCUCAGCUUAAUAAAGAAUAUUCCGAUAAUUUUACCUCAAAUUUAUUUUAGCUUCACUGUGCUCGGCGAAAAUUUAAGUUUGCGCCCCUCUUAACCUAAAAUCCUGGAUCUGCCCCUCAUAUGGUUUAGGGGUGGGGAGCUCGACCGUUUCCAAGUUAUCAAACAGGAGGGGGUAGAGUGGCCCAAAGAAUGACACCUAUAUAUCAUAUGAUUUACUUACAUUAAGGUAUAUAUAAUAUAGUUGCAUUAUUUGUGAAAAUAAAGAAAGAAACUUUCAGCUACUUUAAUUGACCCUUCAAAAUUGAGAAA
RNAcentral lists this long non-coding RNA (494 nucleotides) under Mytilus galloprovincialis (Mediterranean mussel). The record is from RNAcentral. Lineage: Eukaryota; Metazoa; Mollusca; Bivalvia; Mytilida; Mytilidae.